CAGCAGUUGCGGUUAUACAAAUAAUGUAAUUUAAUUUUAUUAGUUAUAAUUAAUUUGAAUUUAAAAUUUUAAAUUAAAUUUAUUAGGUGAAAUUUUAAAUUUAGUAAAAGUUUUUGAUUAGGUAAUGAAGUUAGUAAAUUUAGAUAGUAAACUAGGAUUAGAUACCCUAUUAUUUUAAAUGUAAAUUUUUUACUUAGCUAUUAAUAGAUAUAAUCUUUAAAAUUAAAGAAUUUGGCGGUAUUUUAGUCUUUUCAGAGGAACCUGUUCUAUAAUCGAUAAUCCACGAUUAAUUGAACUUACUUUAUUAGUUUGUAUAUCGUCGUAGUUUGAAUAUUUUAUAAGAAUUUAAAUAUUCAAGAAUUUUUAUUUAAAAAGAAUUCAGAUCAAGGUGCAGUUUAUAAGUGAGAAGAAAUGGGUUACAAUAAAUAGAUUUAUAUGGAAAAGUAAAUGAAAAUAGCUUUGAAGGUGGAUUUGAAAGUAAUUUAAUUUAUAUAAUUUAAAUGAUUAAAGCUCUAAAAUAUGUACAUAUCGCCCGUCGCUUUCGUAUAAAAUGAAAUAAGUCGUAACAAAGUAGGCUUACUGGAAAGUGA
Molecule: ribosomal RNA, 590 nt
Filed under: Leucocelis sp. LEU01
Lineage: Eukaryota; Metazoa; Arthropoda; Insecta; Coleoptera; Scarabaeidae
Description: partial 12S ribosomal RNA
Source: RNAcentral